ACGGGGGUGUUUUUGUAUAAAAGAUGACAAUUAAAACAGUUCAACUAAAAGCAAAUAGCUAACUAAAAAUUAAAUAACAAUUUACUAAAAUCAGAUCAAUAAUAACUAAAGAUCUAGCCAAGAAAUAACUUUAAUAAUGGUUCAUGUGACGACCCCACCUCCCCCUAAGGCGUACCAAAAGGAUGUUACAGUUCACCUAAUUGAUCAUUGAUGCAAAGGCAAUUCCAAUUAUUUACAAAUAAAUAGAUUAUAACUGCCAAACAAGUGAUGACAGUCAACUCCUCCUUACUAUGUCGGUAACUAAGGUACGCCCGUUAGUCACUAUUCUAAUUGAGAAAUAAUUCUAGGUACGCCCGUAAGAUUUAAUUCUCCAAUUGUCUUACGAAUUAAAGGAACCCUAUUCUAACCAAAUAACGCACUAUCAGGAUUAUUUUAGAUUAGCAUGCGUAUUCCCCUAACACAAAUCCAAUCAUGCCAGUUGUCACUAUUUCAGGGCAAUUAAACAAUUACGAAUUUAAUGCUCCAAUUGACAAUAGGUUACCAAAUCAAUUCGACAUCCGGAUCCAAGAUAAUCAAUUAAUUAAAUAACUAUAAGCACUGCAAUCAGAGAAUAUGCAAAUAUCAAUAAAUAAGAUGAAUAGAUAAAAUUAAUCCAAUCUUACAAUUUUUAGAUGCACCAAAACCUCCGUCGUUCCUUGACUAGAAAAAGGGAUUUAGUUCAUCCCUGAUGAGAAAAACCCACACAAAGUUGUAGAACCAAUUGCCGCCAUUGUCUCCGAUUGAGAAAACUCAAUUUGCUUGAAUCAUGAAAAGAAAAGGCAAGACUACAAAGAAUGACCAAUUGUUUUUCUUGGUCUUGACAUCUGAAAGAAGAAAGCCACAAGAAGAUGAAAAAAGAGAAAAGUCAAAAGAAGAAAAACUAAAAGUAGUCCCAAUUGUUUGCUAUCUAUUUCCUCUCUAUUUUCUGCUACUUCUAUGAUACGGCUUUUUAGAGGAGAAAAAGAAGACUCCUAGUCUUGUUCCAUCUAUUUUCUCUUAGGCAAUUACCAAAAGGGGAAAAGUUUUCAUCUUCCAAAAGUACCCCUGGACGCCGUAUUUGCCCCCCGGAAUAAGGUAGCAGAGUUGAAUUAUUCUCCCCUUGUUGACUGCUGCUAAUAUUCUUCUCCUGAUAACCAUCAAAUUAGCACCUUUUAUGAUUUUGUGUUUC
Molecule: long non-coding RNA, 1207 nt
Filed under: Coffea arabica (coffee)
Lineage: Eukaryota; Viridiplantae; Streptophyta; Magnoliopsida; Gentianales; Rubiaceae
Description: long non-coding RNA (CARA_LNC007865)
Source: RNAcentral